UNUGACUUGAGUGCAGAAGGGGAGAGUGGAAUUCCAUGUGUAGCGGUGAAAUGCGUAGAUAUAUGGAGGAACACCAGUGGCGAAAGCGGCUCUCUGGUCUGUCACUGACGCUGAGGCUNGAAAGCGUGGGUAGCGAACAGGAUUAGAUACCCUGGUAGUNCACGCCGUAAACGAUGAGUGCUAGGUGUUAGGCCCUUUCCGGGGCUUAGUGCCGGAGCUAACGCAAUAAGCACUCCGCCUGGGGAGUACGACCGCAAGGUUGAAACUCAAAGGAAUUGACGGGGGCCCGCACAAGCGGUGGAGCAUGUGGUUUAAUUCGAAGCAACGCGAAGAACCUUACCAGGUCUUGACAUCCCGAUGCUAUUCUUAGAGAUAGGAAGUUACUUCGGUACGUCGGAGACAGGUGGUGCAUGGUUGUCGUCAGCUCGUGUCGUGAGAUGUUGGGUUAAGUCCCGCAACGAGCGCAACCCUUAUUGUUAGUUGCCAUCAUUAAGUUGGGCACUCUAGCGAGACUGCCGGUAAUAAACCGGAGGAAGGUGGGGAUGACGUCAAAUCAUCAUGCCCCUUAUGACCUGGGCUACACACGUGCUACAAUGGUCGGUACAACGAGUUGCGAGCCGGUGACGGCAAGCUAAUCUCUGAAAGCCGAUCUCAGUUCGGAUUGGAGGCUGCAACUCGCCUCCAUGAAGUCGGAAUCGCUAGUAAUCGCGGAUCAGCACGCCGCGGUGAAUACGUUCCCGGGCCUUGUACACACCGCCCGUCACACCACGAGAGUUUGUAACACCCGAAGUCGGUGAGGUAACCUUUUAGGGG
RNAcentral lists this ribosomal RNA (813 nucleotides) under uncultured bacterium. RNAcentral's name for it is "bacterial SSU rRNA". It matches the Rfam family "Bacterial small subunit ribosomal RNA", at positions 636 to 1448 of the family's 1533-position model. The record is from RNAcentral.